This 251-nucleotide ribosomal RNA is filed under the name uncultured prokaryote. Its description in RNAcentral is "partial 16S rRNA". It matches the Rfam family "Bacterial small subunit ribosomal RNA", at positions 525 to 775 of the family's 1533-position model. The record is from RNAcentral.
ACAGAGACUGCGAGGGUUAUUCGGAUUCACUGGGCGUAAAGGGUGCGCAGGCGGCCGUGUGUGUCAGGUGUGAAAUCUCGAGGCUUAACCUCGAAAUUGCGCCUGAAACUACACGGCUAGAGUACUGGAGAGGGUAACGGAAUUCACGGUGUAGCAGUGAAAUGCGUAGAUAUCGUGAGGAACACCAGAGGCGAAGGCGGUUACCUGGACAGUUACUGACGCUCAGGCACGAAAGCGUGGGGAGCAAAAGG